UCCGUAGGUGAACCUGCGGAGGGAUCAUUACAGAGUUGCAAAACUCCCACAAACCAUCGCGAAUCUUACCCGUACGGUUGCCUCGGCGCUGGCGGUCCGGAAGGCCCUCGGGCCCCCGGAUCCUCGGGUCUCCCGCUCGCGGGAGGCUGCCCGCCGGAGUGCCGAAACCAAAUUCUUGAUAUUUUAUGUUUCUCUGAGUAAACUUUUAAAUAAGUCAAAACUUUCAACAACGGAUCUCUUGGUUCUGGCAUCGAUGAAGAACGCAGCGAAAUGCGAUAAGUAAUGUGAAUUGCAGAAUUCAGUGAAUCAUCGAAUCUUUGAACGCACAUUGCGCUCGCCAGUAUUCUGGCGAGCAUGCCUGUUCGAGCGUCAUUUCAACCAUCAAGCUCUGCUUGCGUUGGGGAUCCGCGUCUGACGCGGUCCCUCAAAAACAGUGGCGGGCUCGCUAGUCACACCGAGCGUAGUAACUCUGCAUCGCUAUGGUCGUGCGGCGGGUUCUUGCCGUAAAACCCCCAAUUUCUAAGGUUGACCUCGGAUCAGGUAGGAAUACCCGCUGAACUUAAGCAUAUCAAUAAGCGGAGGA
This 583-nucleotide ribosomal RNA is filed under the name Sordaria fimicola. RNAcentral describes it as "eukaryotic LSU rRNA". The stretch from base 219 to 372 matches the Rfam family "5.8S ribosomal RNA". Lineage: Eukaryota; Fungi; Ascomycota; Sordariomycetes; Sordariales; Sordariaceae. The record is from RNAcentral.